CCUAGCGGCACUAGCGCGGUGGUCCCACCUGACCCCAUGCCGAACUCAGAAGUGAAACGCCGUAGCGCCGAUGGUAGUGUGGGGUCUCCCCAUGCGAGAGUAGGGAACUGCCAGGC
This 116-nucleotide ribosomal RNA is filed under the name Salmonella enterica subsp. enterica serovar Infantis. Lineage: Bacteria; Pseudomonadati; Pseudomonadota; Gammaproteobacteria; Enterobacterales; Enterobacteriaceae. The record is from RNAcentral. RNAcentral also lists the same sequence under 15 other names.